GAUGAACGCUGGCGGCGUGCCUAAUACAUGCAAGUCGAGCGAACAGACGAGGAGCUUGCUCCUCUGACGUUAGCGGCGGACGGGUGAGUAACACGUGGAUAACCUACCUAUAAGACUGGGAUAACUUCGGGAAACCGGAGCUAAUACCGGAUAAUAUAUUGAACCGCAUGGUUCAAUAGUGAAAGACGGUUUUGCUGUCACUUAUAGAUGGAUCCGCGCCGCAUUAGCUAGUCGGUAAGGUAACGGCUUACCAAGGCAACGAUGCGUAGCCGACCAGAGAGGGUGAUCGGCCACACUGGAACUGAGACACGGUCAAGACUCCGACGGGAGGCAGCAGUAGGGAAUCUUCAGCAAUGGGCGAAAGCCUGACGGAGCAACGCCGCGUGAGUGAUGAAGGUCUUCGGAUCGUAAAACUCUGUUAUUAGGGAAGAACAAAUGUGUAAGUAACUAUGCACGUCUUGACGGUACCUAAUCAGAAAGCCAAGGCUAACUACGUG
Molecule: ribosomal RNA, 497 nt
Filed under: uncultured bacterium
Lineage: Bacteria
Description: partial 16S ribosomal RNA
Rfam family: Bacterial small subunit ribosomal RNA
Source: RNAcentral